AGCGAACGCUGGCGGCAGGCCUAACACAUGCAAGUCGAGCGCCCCGCAAGGGGAGCGGCAGACGGGAGAGUAACACGUGGGAACGUACCCCUCAGUUCGGAACAACCCAGGGAAACUUGGGCUAAUACCGAAUACGUCCGUAAGGAGUAAGAUUUAUCGCGGAAGGAUCGGCCCGCGUCCGAUUAGCUAGUUGGGGAGGUAACGGCUCACCAAGGCGACGAUCGGUAGCUGGUCUGCGAGGAUGAUCAGCCUCACUGGGACUGAGACACGGCCCAGACUCCUACGGGAGGCAGCAGUGGGGAAUAUUGGACAAUGGGCGCAAGCCUGAUCCAGCCAUGCCGCGUGGAUGAUGAAGGCCCUAGGGUUGUAAAGUCCUUUCGGCGGGGAAGAUAAUGACGGUACCCGCAGAAGAAGCCCCGGCUAACUUCGUGCCAGCCGCCGCAGUAA
Molecule: ribosomal RNA, 447 nt
Filed under: uncultured bacterium
Lineage: Bacteria
Description: partial 16S ribosomal RNA
Rfam family: Bacterial small subunit ribosomal RNA
Source: RNAcentral